GCCUGGCCAGCUCAGUUGGUAGAGCAUGGGACGCUUGAUCUCAGGAUUGUGGGUUUGAGCCCCAUGCUAAUCA
Molecule: transfer RNA, 73 nt
Filed under: Pangasius djambal
Lineage: Eukaryota; Metazoa; Chordata; Actinopteri; Siluriformes; Pangasiidae
Description: tRNA-Lys
Rfam family: tRNA
About the family: Transfer RNA (tRNA) molecules are approximately 80 nucleotides in length. Their secondary structure includes four short double-helical elements and three loops (D, anti-codon, and T loops).
Source: RNAcentral